GACGAACGCUGGCGGCGUGCCUAACACAUGCAAGUCGAGCGAAGAGUUUCUGCUGUUUGCACCGGAACGACUUAGCGGCGAACGGGUGAGUAAUACGUAAAGAACCUGCCUCAUAGACAGGGCCAAAUGUUGGAAACGAUAGCACAUACCGGAUAACAGCACUAACUGGAUGGGUGAUGAUUGAAAGGUGGUUUUGGUAACACCAUGAGGUGGCUUUGCGGUGCAUUAGCUAGUUGGUGGGGUAAAGGCCUACCAAGGCGACGAUGCAUAGCCGACCUGAGAGGGUGAUCGGCCACACUGGGACUGAGACACGGCCCAGACUCCUACGGGAGGCAGCAGUAGGGAAUCUUCCGCAAUGGGCGAAAGCCUGACGGAGCAACGCCGCGUGAGUGAAGAAGGAUUUCGGUUCGUAAAGCUCUGUUUUUAGGGAAGAAUGAUUGUGUAGUAACUAUACGCGGUAGAGACGGUACCUAACCAGAAAGCCACGGCUAACUACGUG
RNAcentral lists this ribosomal RNA (499 nucleotides) under uncultured bacterium. Its description in RNAcentral is "partial 16S ribosomal RNA". It matches the Rfam family "Bacterial small subunit ribosomal RNA", at positions 28 to 507 of the family's 1533-position model. The record is from RNAcentral.